This 433-nucleotide ribosomal RNA is filed under the name uncultured bacterium. RNAcentral describes it as "partial 16S ribosomal RNA". It matches the Rfam family "Bacterial small subunit ribosomal RNA", at positions 29 to 507 of the family's 1533-position model. The record is from RNAcentral.
AACGAACGCUGGCGGCAUGCCUAACACAUGCAAGUCGAACGAGACCUUCGGGUCUAGUGGCGCACGGGUGCGUAACGCGUGGGAACCUGCCCUUAGGUUCGGAAUAACUCCCCGAAAGGGGUGCUAAUACCGGAUAAUGUCUUCGGACCAAAGAUUUAUCGCCUUUGGAUGGGCCCGCGUUGGAUUAGCUAGUUGGUAGGGUAAAAGCCUACCAAGGCGACGAUCCAUAGCUGGUUUGAGAGGAUGAUCAGCCACACUGGGACUGAGACACGGCCCAGACUCCUACGGGAGGCAGCAGUGGGGAAUAUUGGACAAUGGGCGAAAGCCUGAUCCAGCAAUGCCGCGUGAGUGAUGAAGGCCUUAGGGUUGUAAAGCUCUUUUACCCGGGAUGAUAAUGACAGUACCGUAAGAAUAAGCUCCGGCUAACUCCGUG